ACACAGUGACUUAUGAAUUAAGAGAGUGUAAACUUUUGGGAGUACAUUAGAUUUGAGUCAAUACACUGAAAAAAAGUGCACAUGGCAUGUCAUUACUCUAAAGAAGUCGUUAUAACGUUACUUGAUCUAACUCAAAACAUUACAUUUUCUGUCUAGCCAUCAGUGUUAUGUAAAUAUUUGGUCAAUGUAAAAUUAAAAGAAUGUAUUGUUAGUGUAAAAUAUACAUUUCUGUAAAUUGAAAUUUAAAAUAUUGGUUCCCAUUGUCACGUGAUUUAUAACGUAAUCCGGGGUCAUGCGUGAGGACGUUCAGCAUUCUUGUUAAACCGCAUGGAUGAACUCGGCGUGGUAAAACGUGAAUAAAGAAAAUUGGACGGGGUACUGCUGAACAACAAUUAGGACAGGUUUUGAAUAAUCCAGCCACAUGAAAAACGUAAAAGUCUAUUUUCUGUUUCUCUUUCUUACAGAUUAAUGCAGAAUUUUUUCGCAUCACGACCUUACCUCUACAAUCAAGAUUUAUGGCCUCUUUGGACAGACAGACAGCUCUCAGCUUCUCCAGGUUAUCAGGAGCAAAGGUGGAGCCCUCCGUGAGAAAACUAAGGACACUAUUAAAGUUAUGGAUCAGAGUUUGGACAUAGACAUCAGAAGAGAGUGCCUGCUGAAGUGCCUGAUCACAUACCUUGGUGAAGAUGCAAGCUGUCUGAUCAAAGAAUACCAGGCUGACCAGAGGGAGGAAGCAGAGAGAGAAUUUGAAAAGACCACCAUGGCGUUUUUUGUGAUCCGUGAAACUGAUGCUCUUAGUCGUGCACUGGACAUUUCCAUUGUCAUUGACGGUGUGGAAGUACUCAAUUAAUUGCCCUCUGUUGCAUGUGCCUGUGCAUGUGUAUUUGUAUCAGAAUGUUAUUAUGACAAAAUAAACUGUCAAAUGUU
Molecule: long non-coding RNA, 927 nt
Organism: Carassius gibelio (silver crucian carp)
Lineage: Eukaryota; Metazoa; Chordata; Actinopteri; Cypriniformes; Cyprinidae
Exons: 5
Source: RefSeq, a predicted model, not a curated record